GUCUGGGGCCCGCCGGGCUUCGAUUGGUCCGUCUGGCUCUUACUCUGAGAGACGUUCGGGCCCGCGAGGCUCUGGACUCACGUUUGAAUUUGUGGCGCGUAGUGUCCGAGGUGCGGAGUGGAGCUGGGCGUCUUGCUGGAGUCAGCAACUGGGCGGUGAGAGACCCUGAGCGGAGAAUGACCAGAGGGUCGGCCGGCGCUGGAGGGGCCCCGAGUCCAACAGGCCUCCUCGGAAUGCGGCACUUCCACCGCGCUGCUUCCCUCGCCUGAGGCAGGUCCUCUGCUCGCCUCCUCGCAGCCUCUAGAUUCUUCCCUCGCGCCGUUUUCCUCGCGUCUGAGAGACUGUGCGCCCGCCCGCUUCUGUCACCCCCGAAGGAAGGCUGCUCCUAACGCUACCUUCCGGGGUCUCUCCGCUUCCAUCCCUCCCCAGAAGCAGCCCUCCAGCGCUGACGUGUUUACGUCUCCCCCCACUAUCCUGCGCCCCCCCAUCUCUGUCAUAAUUACAGCCUCCUUCCAUCACCAACACUCUCAGAAACUUUCUCCCUGCCUCUGACUGUGGAAAAAUGUCUCCUGAGCAACCUGGUGAGCGUCCCACACCUCAGAGUCCAGAACGUUCCUCAUCAAGAAAGAGGGUGCUGCGGUCCUCCCCUUCCCGCCUGGGACGUAGCGAGGGCACGUGGAAAGCAGCGCGUGAAAGCGCUUUGCAAAGCGGUACGGAAAUGAGGUAUUGUCUCCAUUUUACAAAUGAGGAACCUGAAGCUCAGAGAGACGCCUGCCCUUGGCUCAGCGCCCGGUGCCAACAGAACACCUUUCAGGAUCCACAGCAACGCAGACAACGAGUCCAGGAUCCCGGCCUCUGCUUGGAACGGAACAGUGUCAUGGCGGAGACGACGGCCUUUGUCUUGCUGGGUGUGAAAGCAUCCGCUUUGCAGGCUCCACUGCGGCAGAAUCAAGUUUAAAGGAAAAAGUGAUUAAAGUCAGCUUUGUGCCUCUUUGGUGUGGAAGACCCCCAAACCCCAAGUAGCCGAGUCCCUGGGUCCGAGGAAGGGCUCAUAGUUGGAGCAGCCUAGGCUGUAAUCCUGGCACUUGCGCCUUCGGUUGCUGCUUGCUGUUCGCUCCUGGGGGUCUGGAUAAUCUCCCUUGGCUUUACCGCACUGUCUGGCCCGCAUACAGGGCCCCCGUAACAUAUACCCGCUGCUGCUAUCGCACGAAACUGUGGCGUUGCCCCUGAAUGGAUGGCACUGUGCCAACUCUUCUGCCAUCCGCCCUUGCAGCUUUUUUCUUUCCUGCCUCCCUCCCCUUCUUCUCCUCCUCCUCCCGUCGACUUGACGUUAAUUAACACACGGGUUAAUUGAUUUUAAAAGCCGAAGAAUUACAGUUAACUUUUCCCACAGGGUACAGACGCCAGCCGCUUGGCACACUCUGCCUUUCGCACUGGUGCAGGGGGGCAGGGAGAGCCCGCAGCAAACCUAGCAACUGCUGAGGGAACGUUGCCUGCUUAUUGGAGUAGCGCCGAUAGAAGUCGACGUGGCACUGCCUCGUCCUUACCGUAUGGAGAGCCAUUCUAUAUUUUGUUAAAUAAUCAAAGCACAACCCUGUCUUUCUUCUUCUCCUUUCCUCGUUCAAAACAGGAAAACCCUUCAGAAGUUCUUAUGGGGAAAAAAUAUCCCUCCCCCAAACUAUUUAUCUCAUCCAUAAUAUGCUUUUUUUCCAAUAAGAAGAAAAUACGUGAUGCCUGUUUUUUUUUAAUUACAAGAAGGAAAGCUACUCUUUCCCUAAACAUCACAGGCAAAGAAGAUUUUUUUAAAGAAAAAGUUCCAUAAAGUUUCUUUCUCUAUAUCUCAGUAUUUUGUUUUGUUUCUAUUCCCCUUGACUCAGAUGGGUUAUUUAUGGUGAAAGAUUUCAGUAAGAAA
RNAcentral lists this long non-coding RNA (1912 nucleotides) under Equus asinus (donkey). Its description in RNAcentral is "lncRNA (ENSEASG00005033711.1)". The record is from RNAcentral. Lineage: Eukaryota; Metazoa; Chordata; Mammalia; Perissodactyla; Equidae.